UGCCAGCCGCCGCGGUAAUACGGAGGGUGUAAACGUUGCUCGGAAUCAUUGGGCGUAAAGCGCGCGUAGGCGGUCCGUUAAGUUGGAUGUGAAAGCCCGGGGCUCAACCCCGGAAGUGCAUCCAAAACUGGCGGACUAGAAUCUCGGAGGGGGUCGGAGAAUUCCCGGUGUAGAGGUGAAAUUCGUAGAUAUCGGGAGGAAUACCAGUGGCGAAGGCGGCUUUCUGGACCAAUACUGACGCUGAGAUGCGAAAGCGUGGGGAGCGAGCAGGAUUAGAUA
This 279-nucleotide ribosomal RNA is filed under the name uncultured bacterium. Its description in RNAcentral is "partial 16S ribosomal RNA". It matches the Rfam family "Bacterial small subunit ribosomal RNA", at positions 506 to 784 of the family's 1533-position model. The record is from RNAcentral.